This 2379-nucleotide long non-coding RNA is filed under the name Sus scrofa (pig). Its description in RNAcentral is "lncRNA (ENSSSCG00005007395.1)". The record is from RNAcentral. Lineage: Eukaryota; Metazoa; Chordata; Mammalia; Artiodactyla; Suidae.
CUUUUGUCUUUUUAGGGCUGCACCCACGGCAAAUGGAGAGUCCCAGGCUAAUCGGAGCUGUUGCCACUGGCCUACACCACAGCUCACAGUGAUGCCAGACCCUUAAUCCACUGCGCGAGGCCAGGGAUCGAACCCACAACCUCAUGGUUCCUAGUCAUAUUCGUUUCCUCUGCACCACAACGGGAACUCCACAUUUUUCAUUUUAAAAACAAUCUUAAACAUUUUUCCUAUUACAAAGUAAUGCCAUCGAGUGUCCCUUCAACUGUAAUGAGUCUCCAGGACAGGGAAAAUAGGCAACAACCUUCCACAGUGCUCUUACCCCAACAGUUAAGCAAUACUCACUCAUGUGUCCAUUCAAAUCCUUUCUCUCACAUUUAGAUCUACUGCUUUUUUCCCUUACCUCAGUUUGGGGCGGGUGGGAGUGAGGAGGGAAAAAGUAACUGCUCACGAAGACCCAAAGCAAAGCCCUCACCUGUUCUGAAUGAUCAUCACUUAUUGAACAGAAGUGGAAAGAUUAUUCAUGCUUCUGAGCAAGGAUCACUCUUACCAGGCAUUCUCCAGGCUUCUAAAUAAUCCAAACACUUUAUCGCAUUCUCUCUAGUAGGAAACUCAAGCUAGAAAGGAAAUGGUGAGACCCAUGUAGCAGUGUAAGCCUCAGAACCCACAGAUCUGAAGUCACUGAAGAGCUGGCUCAAUUCCAGCAAAGAGGGUCUGCUUGCUUGAAGCAAAGGGCCUCUGGAGACACAUCAUGGGGAAGAGCUUCAGGCAUCCAUGCAAGUCACCAAUUUACCAAACUAGGUGCCAGGAUGGCAACAAAAGAGAAUAUUUUUUAGGCAAAGCACCUCAUGCCAAGCUGACUCCUAGGGCACAAGGACCAAUAGUACCGUCAGUGAUCAUAUUGAAGCGCCUCACGUGGUUCUCAACCUCAACACCCCAAAUGACUGCAGGAGAAAUAAAAACAACCUCUGAGGAAUGCUCCCACCAGCUACCUAUUGAAGCCCUCUCCAGGAUGGUCCUGGGUCACAGUUAUUCAGCCCUCUCUGAAGCCACCUGGAGACCCACCAAGGCCACAGUGAGUAGCCAGCACUACAGCCCUGCACUCAAGGAGCAUACAGUUCUGCUGGGGAAAUAAAAGCCACAGACAUAGCGCAAUUAUACACAAAGUAGAGAAUAAACACUCAUGGCAUCACCAAGAAUCUACAGCUAUAGGCAGCCUGUAUCACAGACAAAAAGAAAGGAGGAUGCCAGUUAGCAGGAAAGCCUUGAGAACAAAAAGAGCCUACAGUAACAAAAGCCUUCCGUACUGCCUGGUCUGGUGCUUUCCACACUGUACCUCUCACUCUCUCUCUUCUGUUCUCUAUUUGGGGAUUUCCCCUAAGAUUUCAUUUGAAAUAGCGGUUCCCAAAAGAGGCUGAAAAAAGAGAUCACAGUUAAUGGGAAAAAAUGCAGGUUCCUACACACACACACACACACACACACACACACACACACCCUUCCCCACCCCUGGGUCAUAUCUGAAUCUCUAAAGCAGGACUUGGGAUGGUGUGUCCUUGCACAAAAUAUGUUUAAAAACACCUGCCUACGUGGGAAAAAGAAUGGAUAUAUGUGUGUGUAUACACACACACACACACACGUAUAUAUCUAAAAUAUUCCCUUUGCUGUACACUUGAACUAAUAUUGUAUGUCAACAAUAAAAAAUAAAAAUAAAAACCAAAAUACUUGCCUAAUCCAACUCUAUAAAUCAGGAAAUGAGACCCAAAAAGGUAAAGGGGCUCCCUCAAGGACACGCAGAAAAGAAACGGCCAGAGCCUUGGUUCCCAAAUCCAAGCUGCUGCUCUUUCAGCAAAACAGAAGCAGGGGAAACCUGGAGUGAGCCUGGGAAGUGUGUUAAGAUUUGGACCAGUGGAAGAGGCAGGGGGCAUCAAGGAUGCAAAUAAGAAACUGACACAUGAAGGCUACAUCCAAAAGGGGCCCAGCCAUGGAGUUCCUGUUGUGGCUCAGUGGUUAAAGAACCCAACUAGUAUCCAUGAGGACACAGGUUCAAUCCCUGGCCUCACUCAGUGGGUUAAGGAUCCAGUGUUGUUGUGAGCUAUGGUGUAGGUUGUAGACGCAGCUGGGAUCCAGCGUUGCUGCGGCGUAGGCUGGCAGCUACAGGUCCAAUUCAACCCCUAGCCUGGGAACUUCCAUACACUUCGGGUGUGGCCCUACCAAAAAAACAAAAAGACAAAAGGGGCCCAGCCAUGAUAUGAGGGUGUGUGGGGAAGCGGGGAUGCAGAAGGUGGCAGUGGCAGGUGGAGAGACCAGAUAAGCAGACCAGAUAAGCAGUUGUGGUCAGUGGUACCAGGCACUAGAGGAGAUGCUGCUGGAAGAGUGGCAAUG